RNAcentral lists this ribosomal RNA (485 nucleotides) under uncultured bacterium. RNAcentral's name for it is "partial 16S ribosomal RNA". It matches the Rfam family "Bacterial small subunit ribosomal RNA", at positions 29 to 523 of the family's 1533-position model. The record is from RNAcentral.
AGUGAACGCUGGCGGCGUGCUUAACACAUGCAAGUCGAACGAGAACGGAAUAUAGCUUGCUAUAUUUGUCAGCUAAGUGGCGCACGGGUGAGUAAUGUAUAGAUAACCUGCCCUUAAGAAAGGAAUAACAGUUGGAAACGACCGCUAAUGCCCUAUAUGCCUUUAAUACAUAAGUAUGCAAGGGAAACGCUUUAGUGCUUAAGGAUGGGUCUGUAUGGUAUCAGCUUGUUGGUGAGGUAAUGGCUCACCAAGGCUAUGACGCCUAACUGGUUUGAGAGGAUGAUCAGUCACACUGGAACUGAGACACGGUCCAGACUCCUACGGGAGGCAGCAGUGGGGAAUAUUGCACAAUGGACGAAAGUCUGAUGCAGCAACGCCGCGUGGAGGAUGACACAUUUCGGUGCGUAAACUCCUUUUAUAUAGGAAGAUAAUGACGGUACUAUAUGAAUAAGCACCGGCUAACUCCGUGCCAGCAGCCGCGGUUA